This 835-nucleotide ribosomal RNA is filed under the name Sphaeropsis eucalypticola. RNAcentral describes it as "eukaryotic LSU rRNA". It matches the Rfam family "Eukaryotic large subunit ribosomal RNA", at positions 68 to 922 of the family's 3401-position model. The record is from RNAcentral. Lineage: Eukaryota; Fungi; Ascomycota; Dothideomycetes; Botryosphaeriales; Botryosphaeriaceae.
ACAGGGAUUGCCUUAGUAACGGCGAGUGAAGCGGCAAUAGCUCAAAUUUGAAAGCUGGCCCUUUCAGGGUCCGCGUUGUAAUUUGUAGAGGAUGAUUCGGCGAGGGCUCCCGCCUAAGUCCCCUGGAACGGGGCGUCAUAGAGGGUGAGAAUCCCGUAUGCGGUGGGCUGCCUUAGCCAUGUGAAUCUCCUUCGACGAGUCGAGUUGUUUGGGAAUGCAGCUCUAAAUGGGAGGUAAAUUUCUUCUAAAGCUAAAUACCGGCCAGAGACCGAUAGCGCACAAGUAGAGUGAUCGAAAGAUGAAAAGCACUUUGGAAAGAGAGUUAAAAAGUACGUGAAAUUGUUGAAAGGGAAGCGCUUGCAACCAGACUUGUCCGCAGUUGCUCAGCCGGUCUCCUGACCGGCGUACUCUUCUGCGGCCAGGCCAGCAUCAGUUCGGGCGGUCGGAUAAAGACCUCGGGAAUGUAGCUCCUCUCGGGGAGUGUUAUAGCCCGGGGUGGAAUGCGGCCAGCCUGGACUGAGGAUCUCGCUUCGGCAAGGAUGCUGGCGUAAUGGUUGUAAGCGGCCCGUCUUGAAACACGGACCAAGGAGUCUAACAUCUAUGCAGUGUUUGGGUGUCAAACCCAUACGCGUAAUGAAAGUGAACGGAGGUGGGAACCCGCAAGGGCGCACCAUCGGCCGAUCCUGAUGUCUUCGGAUGGAUUUGAGCAAGAGCAUAGCUGUUGGGACCCGAAAGAUGGUGAACUAUGCCUGAAUAGGGUGAAGCCAGAGGAAACUCUGGUGGAGGCUCGCAGCGGUUCUGACGUGCAAAUCGAUCGUCAAAUUUGGGUAUAGGG